CAGCCGCCACGGUAAUACGUAGGUGGCAAGCGUUGUCCGGAUUUAUUGGGCGUAAAGCGAGCGCAGGCGGUUAGAUAAGUCUGAAGUUAAAGGCUGUGGCUUAACCAUAGUACGCUUUGGAAACUGUUUAACUUGAGUGCAAGAGGGGAGAGUGGAAUUCCAUGUGUAGCGGUGAAAUGCGUAGAUAUAUGGAGGAACGCCGGUGGCGAAAGCGGCUCUCUGGCUUGUAACUGACGCUGAGGCUCGAAAGCGUGGGGAGCAAACAGGAUUAGAGACCCCUGUAGUCCCUGUCUCUUAUACA
RNAcentral lists this ribosomal RNA (301 nucleotides) under uncultured bacterium. RNAcentral describes it as "partial 16S ribosomal RNA". It matches the Rfam family "Bacterial small subunit ribosomal RNA", at positions 509 to 808 of the family's 1533-position model. The record is from RNAcentral.